CCUACGGGAGGCAGCAGUGAGGAAUAUUGGUCAAUGGGCGCAAGCCUGAACCAGCCAAGUAGCGUGAGGGAUGACUGCCCUACGGAUUGUAAACUUCUUUUAUAAGGGAAUAAAGUGUGGGACGUGUCCCUUUUUGUAUGUACUUUAUGAAUAAGGAUCGGCUAACUCCGUGCCAGCAGCCGCGGUAAUACGGAGGAUCCGAGCGUUAUCCGGAUUUAUUGGGUUUAAAGGGUGCGUAGAUGGGUUGUUAAGUCAGUUGUGAAAGUUUGUGGCUCAACCGUAAAAUUGCAGUUGAUACUGGGAGUCUUGAGUAUAGUUGAGGCAGGCGGAAUUCGUGGUGGAGCGGUGAAAUGCUUAGAUAUCACGAAGAACCCCGAUUGCGAAGGCAGCUUACUAAACCGUCACUGACAUUGAUGCACGAAAGCGUGGGGAUCGAACAGGAUUAGAUACCCGAGUAGUC
RNAcentral lists this ribosomal RNA (460 nucleotides) under uncultured bacterium. Its description in RNAcentral is "partial 16S ribosomal RNA". It matches the Rfam family "Bacterial small subunit ribosomal RNA", at positions 338 to 795 of the family's 1533-position model. The record is from RNAcentral.